This 495-nucleotide ribosomal RNA is filed under the name uncultured bacterium. RNAcentral's name for it is "partial 16S ribosomal RNA". It matches the Rfam family "Bacterial small subunit ribosomal RNA", at positions 28 to 507 of the family's 1533-position model. The record is from RNAcentral.
GACGAACGCUGGCGGCGUGCCUAAUACAUGCAAGUAGAACGCUGAAGGAGGAGCUUGCUUCUCCGGAUGAGUUGCGAACGGGUGAGUAACGCGUAGGUAACCUGCCUGGUAGCGGGGGAUAACUAUUGGAAACGAUAGCUAAUACCGCAUAACAGUAGAUGUUGCAUGACAUUUGCUUAAAAGGUGCAAUUGCAUCACUACCAGAUGGACCUGCGUUGUAUUAGCUAGUUGGUGAGGUAACGGCUCACCAAGGCGACGAUACAUAGCCGACCUGAGAGGGUGAUCGGCCACACUGGGACUGAGACACGGCCCAGACUCCUACGGGAGGCAGCAGUAGGGAAUCUUCGGCAAUGGACGGAAGUCUGACCGAGCAACGCCGCGUGAGUGAAGAAGGUUUUCGGAUCGUAAAGCUCUGUUGUAAGAGAAGAACGAGUGUGAGAGUGGAAAGUUCACACUGUGACGGUAUCUUACCAGAAAGGGGCGGCUAACUACGUG